ACGGGAGGCAGCAGUGGGGAAUAUUGCACAAUGGGCGCAAGCCUGAUGCAGCGACGCCGCGUGAGUGAAGAAGUAUUUCGGUAUGUAAAGCUCUAUCAGCAAGGAAGAAAAUGACGGUACUUGACUAAGAAGCCCCGGCUAACUACGUGCCAGCAGCCGCGGUAAUACGUAGGGGGCAAGCGUUAUCCGGAUUUACUGGGUGUAAAGGGAGCGUAGACGGCAAAGCAAGUCUGAAGUGAAAUCCCGGGGCUCAACCCUGGAACUGCUUUGGAAACUGUUUAGCUAGAGUGCAGGAGAGGUAAGUGGAAUUCCUAGUGUAGCGGUGAAAUGCGUAGAUAUUAGGAGGAACACCAGUGGCGAAGGCGGCUUACUGGACUGUAACUGACGUUGAGGCUCGAAAGCGUGGGGAGCAAACAGGAUUAGAUACCCUGGUA
RNAcentral lists this ribosomal RNA (434 nucleotides) under uncultured Clostridiales Family XIV bacterium. Its description in RNAcentral is "bacterial SSU rRNA". It matches the Rfam family "Bacterial small subunit ribosomal RNA", at positions 341 to 792 of the family's 1533-position model. The record is from RNAcentral. Lineage: Bacteria; Bacillati; Bacillota; Clostridia; Eubacteriales; Clostridiales Family XIV. Incertae Sedis.